GGGGAUCCUGUAAGAGUCCCCCAGAGGCCAGCGCCAUGGUGUCGGACUUCCAGAACCAGGAGCCUUCUUUACAAAUUACCCAGCAUCAGAUAUUUUGUUAUCAAAAGAGAAAAAGAGACUGAUAACUCCUCCACUGAAGGCAAGCCCAUGAGACCAGGGACCUGGAGUGUUGCUACAGAGGCAUCAGGAGAGCCUUUAAGAAAGCCAGCUCAGGGGCUGGGGAUGAGGCUCAAGCAGUAGCGCGCUCGCCUGGCAUGUGUGCGGCCCGGGUUCGAUCCUCAGCACCACAUACAAAGAUGUUGUAUCCGCCGAAAACUAAAAAUAAAUAAAUAAAAAAAUUCUCAAAAAAAAAAAAAGGCCAGCUCAAACCCCAGUUCAAAUGGGAGUUACUGACCUCUGUAUCUCUCUUACCUUAUCAACAAGAUGUGACUCACUCGUUGGCUUGCUGUUGAAUGUCAGAUUUUAGUUGAACAUUAAAUGAGAUACUACAUGCAAAUAGUCUGAAAGAGCACUAGCUUAUCACAAGCAUUUCUUUAUUUUUCUUCCUUCUUAUACCACCAUGCCCAGCAUAGGGCUUGGCACACAGUAGGUACUCAAUAAAUAUUUGCUGAAAAGAUGAAUGAAGGGGCCCAUCAUGGGACCUCCUGGGAAAAGGGGCCCUGAGCAGAUGUACAACGGCCCUGUGGCCAGAUGCUUUGAAAGAGAGUCACCAACCCUAGCAGAGAACCAAGACUUGACAUCUCAGGGAAAUCCAGGGCACAUCAGGAUCCUGGGCUGAAGAGGGGUGGUCCACUUCCCCUUUGGAAUGAGCUCAGGGAAGGGGGCCCAGAUCCUUCCCGGAAAAUGGUUUGGAAUCAACUCCCGUACAGAGACGCCUGAGCUUGGCUGAACUUCCCUGCCCGACUUCAAUCCCCUAGAAAACACUGAAGGCGAGUGUGACCAGCUGCUCACUGUGGCCGAAUGACCUCCAUCAGGUCUCCACCCAAGACCCCGCGUGGAGCGUGCUCUUUCCCGGGAGGAGGCUGAGACACACUUGUUUUUUAAAAAUGAAGAGAACCACAUGAGAUGGUUCCUGACCCAGGAUAUUGACACAUCAGCUCAAAGCGGGAGGAUGUCGACCAACAAUAAUAACCGAGGGCCGCCACAGUGCCCUGUGGGCUUUCUUUCUGGAAAAAACUAGCUGGCAGAGGCCGCUGGAGACCCAGGCGUCUCCUCGUUCAAGAUAAUAAAACCACAACCCGGCACACAACGCACAGUUGUUCUCUGUUUUUAUAACAGGAAGGCAGGCACCCAGCACAUUCCAAAGCACCAUCAGCUCGUUAAGAACUAGUUAGCUGGAGAAAGAAGGAGGGGCUACCCUGUUUACCCUGGUGAGAUUUUAACCAGUCCAGUAGCCCCUGGACUUGCAAGGCAGGACUGAGAUGGACUUUGUGGACAUAAUAUGGACAUCAGGCCACGUGCACCGCAGAGCUCAGCCUCAACUCAGCCUCAAGAACCUUAAGGCAGUGGUUCUCGAACUUUCUCAGCUUAAGCCACCCCACUCAAGAAUUUUUUCACAGUAGUCCCUGGACCAAAGAAAUGCUGACCGAUUUCACAAUUUCAUAUAUUAAGUAGUAAGAACUAAC
Molecule: long non-coding RNA, 1625 nt
Filed under: Marmota monax (woodchuck)
Lineage: Eukaryota; Metazoa; Chordata; Mammalia; Rodentia; Sciuridae
Source: RNAcentral